GACGAACGCUGGCGGCGUGCUUAACACAUGCAAGUCGAACGGAAAGGCCCUGCUUUUGUGGGGUGCUCGAGUGGCGAACGGGUGAGUAACACGUGAGUAACCUUCCCUUGACUUUGGGAUAACUUCAGGAAACUGGGGCUAAUACCGGAUAGGAGCUCCUGCUGCAUGGUGGGGGUUGGAAAGUUUCGGCGGUUGGGGAUGGACUCGCGGCUUAUCAGCUUGUUGGUGGGGUAGUGGCUUACCAAGGCUUUGACGGGUAGCCGGCCUGAGAGGGUGACCGGCCACAUUGGGACUGAGAUACGGCCCAGACUCCUACGGGAGGCAGCAGUGGGGAAUAUUGCACAAUGGGCGGAAGCCUGAUGCAGCAACGCCGCGUGCGGGAUGACGGCCUUCGGGUUGUAAACCGCUUUCGCCUGUGACGAAGAGUGAGUGACGGUAAUGGGUAAAGAAGCACCGGCUAACUACGUG
Molecule: ribosomal RNA, 468 nt
Filed under: uncultured bacterium
Lineage: Bacteria
Description: partial 16S ribosomal RNA
Rfam family: Bacterial small subunit ribosomal RNA
Source: RNAcentral